UUCUAUUAGAUUUAAUUAAUAGUAAAAUCUGCUCAAUGAAAAAUUAAAUAGCCGCUAUUUCAGUGCUAAGGUAGCAUAAUCAUUUGUCUUUUAAUUAAAGACUAGAACAAAAGAUUUAACUUUUUAACUUAUUUAUUAAAAUUAAAUUUAUAAAUUCUCCUAAAUGUAAAAAGACAUUUAUAAAAAAGAAAGACGAUAAGACCCUAUCGAACUUUACUUUAGUUUAACUGGGGCAGUUAAUUAAUUAUCAUUUUAAUUACAAUAUAUAAUAAAAUGACCUAAUACAAUUAAUAGAAUGACUAAGUUACCGUAGGGAUAACAGCAUAAUAAGUUUUUAAAGAUCUUAUUUCAAAAAGAGAUUGUGACCUCGAUGUUGAUUAAUUUUCCAUAUUCUCGCAAUAGAAAAAAAUGUAAGUCUGUUCGACUUUUAAAAAAUUACA
Molecule: ribosomal RNA, 440 nt
Filed under: Peucetia viridans
Lineage: Eukaryota; Metazoa; Arthropoda; Arachnida; Araneae; Oxyopidae
Description: partial 16S ribosomal RNA
Source: RNAcentral